RNAcentral lists this ribosomal RNA (758 nucleotides) under uncultured bacterium. RNAcentral's name for it is "bacterial SSU rRNA". It matches the Rfam family "Bacterial small subunit ribosomal RNA", at positions 28 to 776 of the family's 1533-position model. The record is from RNAcentral.
GAUGAACGCUAGCUACAGGCUUAACACAUGCAAGUCGAGGGGCAUUAGGAAGAAAGCUUGCUUUCUUUGCUGGCGACCGGCGCACGGGUGAGUAACACGUAUCCAACCUGCCCUUUACUCGGGGAUAGCCUUUCGAAAGAAAGAUUAAUACCCGAUAGCAUAAUGAUUCCGCAUGGUUUCAUUAUUAAAGGAUUCCGGUAAAGGAUGGGGAUGCGUUCCAUUAGGUUGUUGGUGAGGUAACGGCCCACCAAGCCUUCGAUGGAUAGGGGUUCUGAGAGGAAGGUCCCCCACAUUGGAACUGAGACACGGUUCAAACUCCUACGGGAGGCAGCAGUGAGGAAUAUUGGUCAAUGGGCGUUAGCCUGAACCAGCCAAGUAGCGUGAAGGAUGAAGGCUCUAUGGGUCGUAAACUUCUUUUAUAUAAGAAUAAAGUGCAGUAUGUAUACUGUUUUGUAUGUAUUAUAUGAAUAAGGAUCGGCUAACUCCGUGCCAGCAGCCGCGGUAAUACGGAGGAUCCGAGCGUUAUCCGGAUUUAUUGGGUUUAAAGGGAGCGUAGGUGGACUGGUAAGUCAGUUGUGAAAGUUUGCGGCUCAACCGUAAAAUUGCAGUUGAUACUGUCAGUCUUGAGUACAGUAGAGGUGGGCGGAAUUCGUGGUGUAGCGGUGAAAUGCUUAGAUAUCACGAAGAACUCCGAUUGCGAAGGCAGCUCACUGGACUGCAACUGACACUGAUGCUCGAAAGUGUGNGUAUCAAACAGG